This 443-nucleotide ribosomal RNA is filed under the name uncultured bacterium. RNAcentral describes it as "partial 16S ribosomal RNA". It matches the Rfam family "Bacterial small subunit ribosomal RNA", at positions 338 to 795 of the family's 1533-position model. The record is from RNAcentral.
CCUACGGGUGGCAGCAGUGGGGAAUAUUGGGCAAUGGGCGCAAGCCUGAACCAGCGACGCCGCGUGAAGGAAGAAGGCUUUCGGGUUGUAAACCUCUUUUGUCAGGGAAGAAGGAAGUGACGGUACCUGACGAAUAAGCCUCGGCUAACUACGUGCCAGCAGCCGCGGUAAUACGUAGGUGGCAAGCGUUAUCCGGAUUUAUUGGGUGUAAAGGGCGUGUAGGCGGGGAUGCAAGUCAGAUGUGAAAGGUGUGGGCUCAACCCAUAGCCUGCAUUUGAAACUGUAUGUCUUGAGUGCUGGAGAGGCAAGUGGAAUUCCGUGUGUAGCGGUGAAAUGCGUAGAUAUACGGAGGAACACCAGUGGCGAAGGCGGAUUACUGGACAGUAACUGACGCUGAGGCUCGAAAGCGUGGGGAGCAAACAGGAUUAGAUACCCCAGUAGUC